This 83-nucleotide transfer RNA is filed under the name Patescibacteria group bacterium. RNAcentral describes it as "tRNA-Tyr". It matches the Rfam family "tRNA". From Rfam's summary of the family: Transfer RNA (tRNA) molecules are approximately 80 nucleotides in length. Their secondary structure includes four short double-helical elements and three loops (D, anti-codon, and T loops). The record is from RNAcentral.
GCGUCGGUGGCAGAGUGGUCAAAUGCACGGGACUGUAAAUCCUGCGACGUUAGUCUACGGGGGUUCGAAUCCCUCCCGGCGCA